CCGGAGUCUGAUCACCGUUGCCGCCUAGGAUGGCUUCUGGGGCUGCCGCCGAACCGGUUCGGAGACCGCCGCUGUUUCGGUUCAGCCAUUCCUUUCGGUUCGAGUCGUUGCGACUGUUG
This is a non-coding RNA of Arachis ipaensis, 119 nucleotides long. The record is from RefSeq and is a predicted model, not a curated record. Lineage: Eukaryota; Viridiplantae; Streptophyta; Magnoliopsida; Fabales; Fabaceae.